UAGUCCACGCCGUAAACGAUGUCAACUAGUUGUUGGUCCCCUUGAGGGAUUAGUAACGCAGCUAACGCAUUAAGUUGACCGCCUGGGGAGUACGGUCGCAAGACUAAAACUCAAAGGAAUUGACGGGGGCCCGCACAAGCGGAGGAACAUGUGGUUUAAUUCGAUGAUACGCGAGGAACCUUACCUGGGCUUAAAUGUAGAUUGCAUGACGUGGAAACACGCUUCCCUUCGGGGCUAUCUACAAGGUGCUGCAUGGUUGUCGUCAGCUCGUGCCGUGAGGUGUCGGGUUAAGUCCCAUAACGAGCGCAACCCUUAUCGUUAGUUGCCAUCAGGUCAUGCUGGGGACUCUAGCGAUAAGGGUUAACUCGGAGGAAGGUGGGGAUGACGUCAAGUCUUCAUGCCCCUUAAGUCCAGGGGCUGUAAACAUGCUACAAUGGGCCAGUACAACGGGGCUGGCUACAACGCGAGUUGAAGCGAAUCCCCUUAAAGCUGGGUCUCAGUUCGGGAUCGAAGUCUGCAACUCGACUUC
This 529-nucleotide ribosomal RNA is filed under the name uncultured bacterium. Its description in RNAcentral is "bacterial SSU rRNA". It matches the Rfam family "Bacterial small subunit ribosomal RNA", at positions 791 to 1319 of the family's 1533-position model. The record is from RNAcentral.